AUCUCUCUACAUUACGUAAUUUUGGUGAAUAAAAUCGAUAAUAAGACAAAACCACGCCGUGGACCGUCGUUAUGCGCUUGUCCACAGUAGGAAAAUGACAAAUUUGAAAUGUAUUCCGUGCCUAACCUUUUUGAGUUCGACCGAAUUGUGAAAUGUAAUAAUUCUCUUCAUUCUCUUCCCUUCCCCUCUUUCUCUGUCUUUCUUUAUCUACCUAUCUAUCUAUCUCUUUUUGGUUGGAAUUUUCGAUAACGCGUAAAUAUAAUAUAAAACCAAUCGUUCGAUCACUAAUGUAAGAUUUUAGUUACAUAAUAGAUAUUUCAUUUUUUUUCGUCGUUCAACUGACGGAAUUUUGAAAAUCUGAAAUUUACAAACAUAUUACGGUCAAACGGGAGGGAGAUGAAAGGGAUAUGUCCUCAUAUGACAUUUUUUCCAUAAAUAUUUUUAUCCCCAAUAUGUUAAAAAAAAAAAAAAUAUGUAAAUAGUGAUUAUUGAAAAGAAUCAACAUCGUUCGCCCUACUGUAACAGAAUAAUUUGACCGCCUCUGGUUUGGACCUACAUAUAGAAAUCAAAAUUGAGAAAAAAAAUUGUUUUUAAUGAGUACGUUUGAUCCAGGUAUUAAAUUAACUAUAAUAAUUUACAACUAUUCAGUUAUGAAAUUUUACCUUUUGUAUGAGUUCUGUCCGCGAAAUAUGAAAUGCAGAGAGAGCGGAAGACAGGAAUUUUACAUCGAAUUGAUUUUAAUACGCGCUAAUAAUUAUUCACAUUUAACAUAG
Molecule: non-coding RNA, 773 nt
Organism: Cinara cedri
Lineage: Eukaryota; Metazoa; Arthropoda; Insecta; Hemiptera; Aphididae
Source: the annotation of a GenBank genome assembly